GGCUUUUUCUCCGGUUCUCGUCCACCCCCGCCGAACGGCACAAUGGAAUAUGACUGGCAGCAUAUGAAGCGGGUGGACGGUCGGGAUGUGAUCAUAUCGCCCAAAUCAGCAGCUGGUUGCGACAGAGCAAAUUUGACAACAUACGGAUAUACGGGACCGAACCUUACCGAACAGGAUGGAGUGGCAACCAAUGGAGAUCAACCCGGAGAUGCUGAACAAGGUGCUCAGUGGGCUGGGGGUGUGUUGGUAGCUGGGG
Long non-coding RNA from Oncorhynchus tshawytscha (Chinook salmon), 256 nucleotides. RefSeq lists it as uncharacterized. The record is from RefSeq and is a predicted model, not a curated record. The transcript has 3 exons. Lineage: Eukaryota; Metazoa; Chordata; Actinopteri; Salmoniformes; Salmonidae.